UUUAAUGACUGGCGGCGGCUUACACAUGCAAGUCGAGCGGAAACGAUGAUAGCUUGCUAUCAGGCGUCGAGCGGCGGACGGGUGAGUAAUACUUAGGAAUCUACCUAGUAGUGGGGGAUAGCUCGGGGAAACUCGAAUUAAUACCGCAUACGACCUACGGGAGAAAGGGGGCAACUUGUUGCUCUCGCUAUUAGAUGAGCCUAAGUCGGAUUAGCUAGAUGGUGGGGUAAAGGCCUACCAUGGCGACGAUCUGUAGCUGGUCUGAGAGGAUGAUCAGCCACACCGGGACUGAGACACGGCCCGGACUCCUACGGGAGGCAGCAGUGGGGAAUAUUGGACAAUGGGGGCAACCCUGAUCCAGCCAUGCCGCGUGUGUGAAGAAGGCCUUUUGGUUGUAAAGCACUUUAAGCAGUGAAGAAGACUCCAUGGUUAAUACCCAUGGACGAUGACAUUAGCUGCAGAAUAAGCACCGGCUAACUCUGUGCCAGCAGCCGCGGUAAU
Molecule: ribosomal RNA, 501 nt
Filed under: uncultured bacterium
Lineage: Bacteria
Description: bacterial SSU rRNA
Rfam family: Bacterial small subunit ribosomal RNA
Source: RNAcentral